This 253-nucleotide ribosomal RNA is filed under the name uncultured bacterium. RNAcentral's name for it is "partial 16S ribosomal RNA". It matches the Rfam family "Bacterial small subunit ribosomal RNA", at positions 524 to 776 of the family's 1533-position model. The record is from RNAcentral.
GACGGAGGAUGCAAGUGUUAUCCGGAAUCACUGGGCGUAAAGCGUCUGUAGGUGGUUUAAUAAGUCAACUGUUAAAUCUUGAGGCUCAACCUCAAAAUCGCAGUCGAAACUAUUGGGCUAGAGUAUAGUAGGGGUAAAGGGAAUUUCCAGUGGAGCGGUGAAAUGCGUAGAGAUUGGAAAGAACACCGAUGGCGAAGGCACUUUACUGGGCUAUUACUAACACUCAGAGACGAAAGCUAGGGUAGCAAAUGGG